This 268-nucleotide ribosomal RNA is filed under the name uncultured Rhizobiaceae bacterium. Its description in RNAcentral is "partial 16S ribosomal RNA". It matches the Rfam family "Bacterial small subunit ribosomal RNA", at positions 1114 to 1382 of the family's 1533-position model. Lineage: Bacteria; Pseudomonadati; Pseudomonadota; Alphaproteobacteria; Hyphomicrobiales; Rhizobiaceae. The record is from RNAcentral.
GUUGCCAGCAUUUAGUUGGGCACUCUAAGGGGACGUGCCGGUGAUAAGCCGAGAGGAAGGUGGGGAUGACGUCAAGUCCUCAUGGCCCUUACGGGCUGGGCUACACACGUGCUACAAUGGUGGUGACAGUGGGCAGCGAGCACGCGAGUGUGAGCUAAUCUCCAAAAGCCAUCUCAGUUCGGAUUGCACUCUGCAACUCGAGUGCAUGAAGUUGGAAUCGCUAGUAAUCGCGGAUCAGCAUGCCGCGGUGAAUACGUUCCCGGGCCUU